RNAcentral lists this ribosomal RNA (315 nucleotides) under uncultured bacterium. RNAcentral describes it as "bacterial SSU rRNA". It matches the Rfam family "Bacterial small subunit ribosomal RNA", at positions 28 to 334 of the family's 1533-position model. The record is from RNAcentral.
GACGAACGCUGGCGGCAUGCCUAACACAUGCAAGUCGAACGGAGAUUAUUUCGGUAAUCUUAGUGGCGAACGGGUGAGUAACGCGUAGGCAACCUGCCCUUUAGUUGGGGACAACAUCCCGAAAGGGGUGCUAAUACCGAAUGUGAUCGUUUCUCGCAUGAGAGAGCGAUGAAAGAUGGCCUCUAUUUAUAAGCUAUCGCUAAAGGAUGGGCCCGCGUCUGAUUAGCUAGUUGGUGGGUAACGGCCUACCAAGGCGAUGAUCAGUAGCCGGUCUGAGAGGAUGAACGGCCACAUUGGGACUGAGACACGGCCCAG